AUACGUAGGUGGCGAGCGUUGUCCGGAUUUACUGGGUGUAAAGGGCGAGUAGGCGGGCUUGCAAGUCAGAUGUGAAAUACCGAGGCUCAACUUCGGGGCUGCAUUUGAAACUGCGAGUCUUGAGUGAUGGAGAGGCAGGGGGAAUUUCCAGUGUAGCGGUAAAAUGCAUAGAUAUUGGGAAGAACACCAGUGGCGAAGGCGGCCUGCUGGACAAUAACUGACGCUGAGGAGCGAAAGUGUGGGGAGCAAACAGGAUUAGAUACCCUGGUAGUCCACACUGUAAACGAUGAAUGCUAGGUGUAGGGGGUAUCGACCCCUUCUGUGCCGCAGUCAACACAAUAAGCAUUCCGCCUGGGGAGUACGGCCGCAAGGUUGAAACUCAAAUGAAUUGACGGGG
Molecule: ribosomal RNA, 397 nt
Filed under: uncultured bacterium
Lineage: Bacteria
Description: partial 16S ribosomal RNA
Rfam family: Bacterial small subunit ribosomal RNA
Source: RNAcentral